AUACGGAGGGUGCAAGCGUUACUCGGAAUCACUGGGCGUAAAGCGCGCGCAGGCGGGCUGAUAAGUUGGAUGUGAAAGCCUACGGCUCAACCGUAGAACUGCAUCCAAAACUGUCAGUCUAGAGUCUGGGAGGGGAAGAUGGAAUUAGUUGUGUAGGGGUAAAAUCCGUAGAGAUAACUAGGAAUACCAAAAGCGAAGGCGAUCUUCUGGAACAGUACUGACGCUGAGGCGCGAAAGCAUGGGGAGCAAACAGGAUUAGAAACCCUGGUAGUCC
RNAcentral lists this ribosomal RNA (274 nucleotides) under uncultured bacterium. RNAcentral describes it as "partial 16S ribosomal RNA". It matches the Rfam family "Bacterial small subunit ribosomal RNA", at positions 523 to 796 of the family's 1533-position model. The record is from RNAcentral.